GAUGGCCCACAUGUUCACCACCGCCUCCCCUCCGCGUGUCGUGCUCGCCGGGCGCCGCCGCAGCCCACUUGCCGCCGCCUCCCCUUGCGUCUGCCUAAGAGGGAGUAAAGAGAGGGGGAGGAUUUGAGAGGGUAUAUUUGUCUUUUCACAUGUCCUUUUCUUUUUUCUUUUUCUUCUUUUCCUUCUUCCUCACGGUAGGUUAACAGUAGGGGUCAUACGACAGAUUCAAUUUUGAAAAGUGGAGUCAAAUCUGUAAAGUGAAAAAAUAAGAUCAAAUAUGUAGUUAGAUUUUAAAAUAGGGUCAGUAAUGCAAUAGCCCAAACUAAUAUGAUAAGGACAUAUACAAAGGCUAUUAUUAGUUGACUCUUUUUAUUGCCACACGAGUAAAUAUGAUGCAUAGAUGAAUGAAAAAAAUGAUUGUAAUGAACUGCAUGCCAACGGCCUAGAAUCGUCUCUUAGAUUUAUUUAAGGAAUGUCGUUACAUGGGAUAGAAUAAAAAGAAGUAAAAGUACUAAAAAAAUAUUUUGUUGUAUUAAUGAAGAAGCCAUACCUAACUAUAUUUUAGUACAUACGCUUAUAAACUAAGUUAAGUAAAUGUUGCUGAUAAAGAUGAGUAAAGAGUCAAUCUUAGAUUCUAUAUUUGAGCAUGCCCGGAGACAUUUCAUACUUGAAUAGUUGA
This 679-nucleotide long non-coding RNA is filed under the name Oryza brachyantha (malo sina). RNAcentral describes it as "long non-coding RNA (OBRA_LNC003089)". Lineage: Eukaryota; Viridiplantae; Streptophyta; Magnoliopsida; Poales; Poaceae. The record is from RNAcentral.